Ostrea edulis (European flat oyster) is the source of this 650-nucleotide long non-coding RNA. RefSeq lists it as uncharacterized. Lineage: Eukaryota; Metazoa; Mollusca; Bivalvia; Ostreida; Ostreidae. The transcript is spliced from 2 exons. The record is from RefSeq and is a predicted model, not a curated record.
UGUCUGUGUACAGAAUUUAUCAAGACUUCAGAAGCUCAACCAUUUAUUCUGUUGUAUAAACCUCCAGAGAGGGUGAAAACUACAAAAAAUCAUACAAAGAUAUAAACAUAUGAACCAAACAACUAUUCCUGACAAUGCAUUAGAUUUGUUCCACAAUUAGGACGCCAAUAAACCUAAUUGAAACUGGAUAAAAACACUUAGUAUGCUGACAUUAUGAAUACUGCAUAAAACAAUGAGCAUUUCGUGUUGUACUGCAUAAAAUACAGAUUAAUCACAGUUUCCAAAGCAAAAUGAAAUGGACAAAAGUAAAAUUGACUAAGAUAUGUAAGACAAAUUAUGACUAGGUAGGCAAAAUAUAUUGUGAAAGUAGGACAUAGCCUGCAUGAUGCGAAAUCACAAAAUUCAGCAACUAGGGAAAUGCAUGUUACCUGUAGCAGCCAAUUUUUACAUUUAAAUUUUUGCGCCAAUUUGUACUUUUUGUGUAUGCACGAGCUCGCUGCGAAGAAUGUGGGUAUUAUGUUCCUGUUUCACUGGACAUUGUACUGAACUGCCGUUUCCUAGAGAAACUACUUAUUCGUAUAUCGUAUGAAGUUGAGGAAGUCACAUGAUGCCAAUCAUUGACUUAAGAAUAAAUUUUCCAGGCAUACGCA